This 490-nucleotide ribosomal RNA is filed under the name uncultured bacterium. RNAcentral's name for it is "partial 16S ribosomal RNA". It matches the Rfam family "Bacterial small subunit ribosomal RNA", at positions 29 to 507 of the family's 1533-position model. The record is from RNAcentral.
AAUGAACGCUGGCGGCAUGCCUUACACAUGCAAGUCGAACGGCAGCAUGACCUAGCUUGCUAGGUUGAUGGCGAGUGGCGAACAGGUGAGUAAUGCAUCGGAACGUGCCUUUUAGUGGGGGAUAACGUAGCGAAAGUUACGCUAAUACCGCAUAUUCUCUGAGGAGGAAAGCAGGGGACCUUCGGGCCUUGCGCUAGAAGAGCGGCCGAUGUCGGAUUAGCUAGUUGGUGAGGUAAAGGCUCACCAAGGCAACGAUCCGUAGCGGGUCUGAGAGGAUGAUCCGCCACACUGGGACUGAGACACGGCCCAGACUCCUACGGGAGGCAGCAGUGGGGAAUUUUGGACAAUGGGCGCAAGCCUGAUCCAGCCAUGCCGCGUGAGUGAAGAAGGCCUUCGGGUUGUAAAGCUCUUUCGGCUGGGAAGAAAUCGCACCCUCUAAUACAGGGUGUGGAUGACGGUACCAGCAUAAGAAGCACCGGCUAACUACGUG